GGAGGGCUUGAUGUUGCAUUUACUGACGGUGUCUAUUACCUCCUCCAGUGUUUCGGCACCACUGGAGAAUCCUGGCGUGUAUGUGUGGGAAGGAGGGCUCGGGAGACAGGCGGCUUUUGACAUAAUGACUUGCUCGCAUUUAUUUUUCACCAUGCUUUUCAGCACGCUUUCAAAAACUCAACACCAAGAAAACAUCUGAAAAGAGGCCAUAACUAGAUCACUACUUUCACCCUGUUCACGUUCAAAGUUCAAGUUCACGCACUCCGCGUGUGUGUGUGUGUGUGUGUCACAGGUUCCGAAAGCUAUGCCACACUCUCUCACUCUCUGGUUACAACAGAUCCUGAAAGCACAAAGAAAUGCACAUAAGUAGACUGGCAGUAAUAAGACACAGGUGACAAUCAUCACGCGUUACCUGCUGGUUCAACCUGCUUCCUUUCUGUCCGCAGCUGGUGCUACAACACAUUCCCUUUGUUUUUUAGUGUACCAUUUCAGUGUACAGAUUACAUUCCCUUUGUGUUAGUGUACCAUUCCCUUUCUAGUUGUUUUUAGUUGACAGUUUACGUUCUCCUUGUGUUUAGUGUACAUUAUACAUUCCGUUUGUUUUUAAUGUACAGUUACAUUAUAUUUGGUUUUCGCAUACAGGUUACAAUCCCCUUGUUUUUACAUCCCCUUUGUUUUUAGUGUGCAUUUUACAUUCCUUUUGUGUAUGUACAUGAAUAUUUAAUUUUAAGGGAAUCGUAUAGAAUCCUGUUUUAUUGUAGGAGUUACAUUGCUCUAAUUCAAACUGUUACUUUUAUUAUUCAUCUUUUAUAUUUCUGCAGUGUAUUUAAAGGGCUUUGGUAAGCCAGAUGUUUAAAUGUUGUUUUUUGCCUUUCUUUUCUACAGUGUACUGAUAAACUAGAGAGAGACAGACUUAUUCUCUUCCUCAAUAAGCUCAUUCUGAACAAGAAAAAUGUCAAGGACAUAAUGGACUCAAAUGGUGUACGUAUCCUAGUAGACUUGCUAACCCUAGCCCACC
Molecule: long non-coding RNA, 1018 nt
Organism: Ictalurus punctatus (channel catfish)
Lineage: Eukaryota; Metazoa; Chordata; Actinopteri; Siluriformes; Ictaluridae
Source: Ensembl